Molecule: ribosomal RNA, 497 nt
Filed under: uncultured bacterium
Lineage: Bacteria
Description: partial 16S ribosomal RNA
Rfam family: Bacterial small subunit ribosomal RNA
Source: RNAcentral
GAUGAACGCUGGCGGCGUGCCUAACACAUGCAAGUCGAACGGACAGACGAGAACUUGCCUGCUCUCUUGUUAGCCGCAGACGGGUGAGUAACACGUGGAUAACCUCCCGAUCUUACGGGCAUAACUGCGGGAAUCCGGAUCAUAUACCGGAGAAUAUUUUGUACCGCAUGGUGCUAGAGUGAAUGACGGUCUUGCUGUCACUUGUAGACGGACCUGCGCUGGAUUGGAUAGUUGGUAAGGUAACGUCUUACCAAGGCGACGAUGCAUAGCCGACAUGAGAGGGUGAUAGGCGGCCUUGGAACGGAGACACGGUCCUGAGUCCUACGAGAGGCACCAGUAGGGAAUCUUAGGCAGUGGGCGAGAGCCUGACGGAGUGGCGCCGCGUGAGUGGUGGAGGUGUUCGGUUCGUGAUACUCUGUUAUUAGGGAAGAACACAUGUGUAAGUAACUGUGCACAUCUUGACGGUACCUAGUCAAAAAGCAACGGCUAACUACGUG